This is a non-coding RNA of Zasmidium cellare ATCC 36951, 84 nucleotides long. The record is from the annotation of a RefSeq genome assembly. Lineage: Eukaryota; Fungi; Ascomycota; Dothideomycetes; Mycosphaerellales; Mycosphaerellaceae.
GCCGGGUGGUGUAGUGGCUAUCACGUUUCGUUUACAACCGGAAUUGCAUCCGAAAAGGUCCCGCGUUCAAUCCGCGGUAAGAAA